Molecule: ribosomal RNA, 129 nt
Filed under: Bombus terrestris lusitanicus
Lineage: Eukaryota; Metazoa; Arthropoda; Insecta; Hymenoptera; Apidae
Also listed under: 1 other name
Description: partial large subunit ribosomal RNA
Source: RNAcentral
UUUAAUUAAAUAAAUUUAAUGUUUUAGAUUUAAUUAAUAUUAUUAGUAUUUAAAAUUAUAUAAGGUUUUUUUUUAUUUAAGUAAUAUAUUAUGAAAUAAUAUUUAUAUUAAUAGAUAAAGUAAUGUAAA